GUGCUUGCUUCAGCAGCAUAUGUACUAAAAUUGGAACGAUACGGAGAAGAUUAGCAUGACCCCUGCGCAAGGAUGGCACGCAAAUUUGUGAAGCAUUCCAUAUUUUA
Small nuclear RNA from Gorilla gorilla gorilla (western lowland gorilla), 107 nucleotides. The record is from RefSeq and is a predicted model, not a curated record. Lineage: Eukaryota; Metazoa; Chordata; Mammalia; Primates; Hominidae.